This 811-nucleotide ribosomal RNA is filed under the name uncultured bacterium. Its description in RNAcentral is "bacterial SSU rRNA". It matches the Rfam family "Bacterial small subunit ribosomal RNA", at positions 54 to 878 of the family's 1533-position model. The record is from RNAcentral.
CAUGCAAGUCGAACGGAGCUUAGAGAGCUUGCUUUUUAAGCUUAGUGGCGAACGGGUGAGUAACGCGUGAGUAACCUGCCCUAGAGUGGGGGACAACAGUUGGAAACGACUGCUAAUACCGCAUAAGCCCACGGUGCCGCAUGGCACUGAGGGAAAAGGAUUUAUUCGCUUUAGGAUGGACUCGCGUCCAAUUAGCUAGUUGGUGAGGUAACGGCCCACCAAGGCGACGAUUGGUAGCCGGACUGAGAGGUUGAACGGCCACAUUGGGACUGAGACACGGCCCAGACUCCUACGGGAGGCAGCAGUGGGGGAUAUUGCACAAUGGGGGAAACCCUGAUGCAGCGACGCCGCGUGGAGGAAGAAGGUUUUCGGAUUGUAAACUCCUGUCGUUAGGGACGAUAAUGACGGUACCUAACAAGAAAGCACCGGCUAACUACGUGCCAGCAGCCGCGGUAAAACGUAGGGUGCAAGCGUUGUCCGGAAUUACUGGGUGUAAAGGGAGCGCAGGCGGGAAGACAAGUUGGAAGUGAAAACCAUGGGCUCAACCCAUGAAUUGCUUUCAAAACUGUUUUUCUUGAGUAGUGCAGAGGUAGAUGGAAUUCCCGGUGUAGCGGUGGAAUGCGUAGAUAUCGGGAGGAACACCAGUGGCGAAGGCGGUCUACUGGGCACCAACUGACGCUGAGGCUCGAAAGCAUGGGUAGCAAACAGGAUUAGAUACCCUGGUAGUCCAUGCCGUAAACGAUGAUUACUAGGUGUUGGGGGAUUGACCCCCUCAGUGCCGCAGUUAACACAAUAAGUAAUCCACCUGGGG